GAGUUCGCGGUAAUUCCGGCGGAAUUCAAACGCCAGACCCCGGCCACGUCGGUUAAAUUGUUGCUCGAGCUACGUAAGUUCUCAGAUUGCCAGGGGAGGAGGAUACACGCGCACGGAGCCACGCGAACGUGAGUGUUAUUAAACUUUAAAUUAUGAACGCAACGGGCAGAACAAUUAAAAACGCGUGGCGUUAGCGGGCACACGGCUUCACGGCCACGGAUCCCGAGAGUGGUAAUCAAGAAUUAUGGUCCCCGUUGAUGUUGCCCCGUUAUCAAACUGGAUUUCUAUGAACGGUAUAUCUCAGGUCUGGCGCGCGCGAUCGAGCCCUCGACAAGGCCGCGCGACGAAUUUCAUCCGGCGGAUGCGUCGACACGCUGCCAGGCAAGCGGGGGGAUCCCGUGAUGGAAGCGUCGUCGCGACUUCCGGUCCACGCCCCCCGAACAGUUCUGCCCUAUCUCAGCUUUGUUUCGUUUAUUUUCUCUCGCGCACAACGCGAGCCAAGGACCUCUUCAGAAUUACACGAGAGCGUUCAUUAACGCGACCGGAGAAGAACGAUCCGCUAAUUAAUGUUACGAAGCUUGUCAGUGGACGAGAGCGACGCGCACUCUCGACCAUUUCUCUCUUCUUUGCUUCUUGUUUCGUCUUGCCCGCGAAGAAUGACAAGCGCGAAAGGUAGGAGAGGAAAAGCAAGAAAUGAAAGAGAUGG
Molecule: unclassified non-coding RNA, 706 nt
Filed under: Bombus terrestris (buff-tailed bumblebee)
Lineage: Eukaryota; Metazoa; Arthropoda; Insecta; Hymenoptera; Apidae
Description: misc RNA ENSBTSG00005024379.1
Source: RNAcentral